Balaenoptera ricei (Rice's whale) is the source of this 833-nucleotide long non-coding RNA. RefSeq lists it as uncharacterized. The record is from RefSeq and is a predicted model, not a curated record. The transcript is spliced from 6 exons. NCBI's taxonomy places the organism in Eukaryota, Metazoa, Chordata, Mammalia, Artiodactyla, Balaenopteridae.
UGUGGAGGACCCUGGCCUGCCGACCUGGUCGGACCGAGGUCCGGAAGGUCACGUUGGCCGCAUGCGCAGUGAAAGGAGCCGGACCCUGUGAGGGCCGCGCCCUGCUCCCGCCUCGGCCCGCAGGGCCUUGUGCUCCGGUGUGACGGUCUCCAGAGUGUCCCAGUAGAUGAAUUGGUGGUAAGUCCUGAUGCACAGGAUUUAGCUGUGCCAGAUUGAAGAUUCCAGGAUGACUGAAGUUGACCUUUCUGGUGAGUGAAGACUGGGGUCAUGACAGUGAUGGAACACAGCAGCCUCAGGACCUGGUUUUACUGGCAGUGCCUGAUACUGAAGUAUCUGAAAAUACCAGCUUGUUGCUGGAGCCAUGCUUUAGAAUAAGAUCUGUUACCAGUAAAGCUGUCGUCUUCUGUGAUUGUGGAUCUACAGAGUUGGGAGAGAAACACUACAGGAAGAGGCAAAUGAAGAGACAAGGGGCUCUUUUAGGUGGAAACACCUUUUUUUCUGAUGCUGGUACCUGGCAUACAAGUGACCAAUAAAAGAUUCCUAGGGCUUCCCUGGUGGCGCAGUGGUUGAGAAUCUGCCUGCUAAUGCAGGGGACACGGGUUCGAGCCCUGGUCUGGGAGGAUCCCACAUGCCGCGGAGCAGCUGGGCCCGUGGGCCACAACUACUGAGCCUGCGCAUCUGGAGCCUGUGCUCCGCAGCGAGAGAGGCCGCGAUAGUGAGAGGCCUGUGCACUGCGAUGAAGAGUGGCCCCCGCUUGCCGCAACUAGAGAAAGCCCUAGCACAGAAACUGAAGACCCAACAUAGCAAUCAAUAAAUCUUUAAAAAAAAAAGAU